GACGAACGCUGGCGGCGUGCUUAACACAUGCAAGUCGAACGGAGUGUCGAACGGGUCAGUAACAUGUGGGUGAUCUGCCCUGCCCUUCGGGUUAAGCUUGGGAAACUGGGUCUAAUCCCGGAUAGUUCAAGAUGAGCUCGCGGCCUAUCCGCUUGUUGGCGGGGUAAUUGCCUACCAAGGCGUCGACGGGUAGCCGGCCUGGGAGGGUGUACGGCCACAUUGGGACUGGGAUACGGCCCAGACUACUACGGGAGGAAGCAGUGGGGGAUAUUGCACACUGGGCGGGAGCCUGAUGGAGCGACGCCGAGUGGGGGAUGAAGGACUUCGGGUUGUAAACUCCUUUCGGCAGGGACGCGGUACCUGGAUAAGAAGCACCGGCUAACUACGUGCCAGCAGCCGCGGUAAUUC
This 408-nucleotide ribosomal RNA is filed under the name uncultured bacterium. Its description in RNAcentral is "partial 16S ribosomal RNA". It matches the Rfam family "Bacterial small subunit ribosomal RNA", at positions 28 to 526 of the family's 1533-position model. The record is from RNAcentral.